CAAUAGCGUAUAUUAAAGUUGUUGCAGUUAAAAAGCUCGUAGUCGGAUUUUGGCUGAGAACGAACGGUCCGCCGUUAGGUGUGCACUGUUUGGUCUCAGCUUCCUGGUGAGGAGGUGUGCUUCACGGCCACUUAGUCACCGUGGUUACUUUGAAAAAAUUAGAGUGUUCAAAGCGGGCUUACGCUUGAAUAUAUUAGCAUGGAAUAACACCAUAGGACUCCUGUCCUAUUUCGUUGGUCUCGGGACGGGAGUAAUGAUUAAGAGGAACAGUUGGGGGCAUUCGUAUUUCAUUGUCAGAGGUGAAAUUCUUGGAUUUAUGAAAGACGAACUUCUGCGAAAGCAUUUGCCAAGGAUGUUUUCAUUGA
This 365-nucleotide ribosomal RNA is filed under the name uncultured eukaryote. Its description in RNAcentral is "partial 18S ribosomal RNA". It matches the Rfam family "Eukaryotic small subunit ribosomal RNA", at positions 592 to 976 of the family's 1831-position model. The record is from RNAcentral.